AUUGAACGCUGGCGGCAGGCCUAACACAUGCAAGUCGAACGAGUGGCGGACGGGUGAGUAAUGUCUGGGAAACUGCCUGAUGGAGGGGGAUAACUACCGGAAACGGUAGCUAAUACCGCAUACCAUCGGAUGUGCCCAGAUGGGCUUAGCGAGUAGGUGGGGUAACGGCUCAACUAGGCGACUAUCCCUAGCUGGUCUGAGAGGAUGCACAGCCAAACUGGUACUGAGACACGGUCCAGACGCCUACGGGAGGCAGCAGUUGGGAAUAUUGCACAAUGGCCGAAAUCCUGAGGCAGCCAUGCCGCGUGUGUGAAGAAGGCCUUCGGGUUGUAAAGCACUUUCAGCGGGGAGGCGUUACCCGCAGAAGAAGCACCGGCUAACUCCGUGCCAGCAGCCGCGGUAAUUC
This 406-nucleotide ribosomal RNA is filed under the name uncultured bacterium. RNAcentral's name for it is "partial 16S ribosomal RNA". It matches the Rfam family "Bacterial small subunit ribosomal RNA", at positions 30 to 526 of the family's 1533-position model. The record is from RNAcentral.